Homo sapiens (human) is the source of this 1520-nucleotide long non-coding RNA. RefSeq lists it as uncharacterized. Lineage: Eukaryota; Metazoa; Chordata; Mammalia; Primates; Hominidae. The transcript is spliced from 3 exons. The record is from RefSeq and is a predicted model, not a curated record.
ACAGAAUGAACUCCGGACUUACCAUUAUGCCUUGUACCAACACAUUUCCCUACCUUGAAUCCUAACUCCAACUCCACAUCCACCCUAACCCCACCUCCCAUGACUCUUUCUUUACCCUCAAAUCUCACUCACUCUCUUACCCCGGAUUCAACCAGCUCUAGCCCUGCCCUUCACCUCUGCCGUUGCCCGUGCCCCCACCAAUAAAAUCUUGACCUCUUCCCCUGUGCAGUUGGCUCCUUCUUAAUUAAAUGUCCUCUGCCCUCCCUGGAAGCCUUGAGCUCCCAUGUGCUUUGAGAUUCUGCUUCCAUCCUAGGCCUGGAAGCAGCCCAGGGAGGGAGGAGGGCUCCCCCAUUGAAAAUCUCAACAGGGGCCAUCCCAGGCUGCGGAUCUCCAGGGAUUUCCUGGACUCCUUCCUCCACUCCCACUCACGCUGGCCCCAGGGAUCCUCAGUUGUUAGAAGAGCUGUGGAGAGGGAUUCUGGGCAGGCGCUGUCUCAGACCAGAGUGGCUGUGGGAGGCUCCUCCCUGGUUAGUUUACUUUACACCCCCUCCGAAAGCGAGGACUCCCUCGUCUCCCCUGAUCUCUGUCUGCUCCCAACUCAAGCAUGAAAAUGACUUUUCCACAUGCUGGGCCUUCCCCCAUCCCCUCGCACACACUCACACUAUGCUCAGAAGCUUCCAGAAUCCCAAACCCGCCCCAAAGCUGCCACUUUGCAAAGGCUUCCUCUAAAGCCACAUCUGUCCCAGAGAGACCCCCGAAAGUGGAGGAAAGGGGUCGGCUGGCUGGAGUUGGGGCCCGGAGGCUGCCCAGAUCAGGAGGAAUGGGCCGGCGCCCCCUCCCCACAGCCCCGGCGAGUUCCUGGACGGGCGCGCGCAAGCACAGCGACCCCUACCGGCUCCUCCACUCUCCCCAGCCACCUCCUCCAGGAAGCUCGCUCGGGCUUCCGGGACCUGGAAGAGUCCUGUAGAGACUGUCUGAGAGAUGCUUUUGGCCUCCCAGACAUUUUGUCCUUGGGUCCUCACUAAUACAUCACGAGGUCUCUUCACUUGAACCAGUUGGGGGUAAACUUCGUUUCCCGUCGUGACCCUGCCUGAUACAGCACCUUCUGCCCAGGCCACAAAACAAGCCAUGGCCAGCGGGAGGCCAAGGGACAAGAGAGAGAUUGCCAGAGGGCAGAAACACACAGGACAAAAUGGGGCAGAGAAGCAGAAACAGGGAGAGAUUAAAAAGGCAAAGGCUGGCCGGGCGCUGUGGCUCAUGCCUGUAAUCUCAACAUUUUGGGAGGCCUGAAGGAGGUGGAUCACUUGAGCCCAAGAGUUUGAGAUCAGCCUGGGCAACAUAGCAAGACCCCGUCUCUGCAAAAAAAAAUUAAAAAAUUUAGCUAGGCAUGAUGGUUCACCCCUCUGAUUGCCUGAUUGCUUAAGUUCCAGGCUGCAGUGAGCUGCGAUUGCACCAUUGUACUCUGGCCUGGGCAACAGAGCCAGAUCCUGUCUCUAAAAAUAAAUAAAUAGAUAAAUAUA